Molecule: microRNA, 23 nt
Filed under: Xenopus laevis (African clawed frog)
Lineage: Eukaryota; Metazoa; Chordata; Amphibia; Anura; Pipidae
Description: xla-miR-20a-3p
Gene: xla-miR-20a-3p
Source: miRBase by way of RNAcentral
ACUGCAUUAAGAGCACUUAAAGU